Molecule: ribosomal RNA, 88 nt
Filed under: Cynoglossus semilaevis (tongue sole)
Lineage: Eukaryota; Metazoa; Chordata; Actinopteri; Pleuronectiformes; Cynoglossidae
Source: RNAcentral
ACUUACGGCCAUACCACCCUGAACACGCCCGAUCUCGUUUGAUCUUGGAAACUAAGCACGGGCCGAGGAAUACCAGGUGCUGUUAGCA